RNAcentral lists this transfer RNA (81 nucleotides) under Serratia marcescens. Its description in RNAcentral is "tRNA-Leu". It matches the Rfam family "tRNA". From Rfam's summary of the family: Transfer RNA (tRNA) molecules are approximately 80 nucleotides in length. Their secondary structure includes four short double-helical elements and three loops (D, anti-codon, and T loops). The record is from RNAcentral. Lineage: Bacteria; Pseudomonadati; Pseudomonadota; Gammaproteobacteria; Enterobacterales; Yersiniaceae.
GCCCGGUGGUGAAAUCGGUAGACACAAGGGAUUUAAAAUCCUCGGCUUAUGGCUGUGCGGGUUCAAGUCCCGCCCCGGGUA